RNAcentral lists this microRNA (21 nucleotides) under Brachypodium distachyon (stiff brome). RNAcentral describes it as "bdi-miR845". Its record names the gene bdi-miR845. Lineage: Eukaryota; Viridiplantae; Streptophyta; Magnoliopsida; Poales; Poaceae. The record is from miRBase by way of RNAcentral.
UGCUCUGAUACCAAUUGUUGG